GAGGGUACAGCUCAAAAUGCUAGAGUGCAUGCUUAGCAUGCACAAGGUCCUGGGUUCAAUCCCCAGUACCUCCU
Transfer RNA from Camelus ferus (Wild Bactrian camel), 74 nucleotides. It matches the Rfam family "tRNA". Rfam says of the family: Transfer RNA (tRNA) molecules are approximately 80 nucleotides in length. Their secondary structure includes four short double-helical elements and three loops (D, anti-codon, and T loops). The record is from Rfam. Lineage: Eukaryota; Metazoa; Chordata; Mammalia; Artiodactyla; Camelidae.